This 238-nucleotide ribosomal RNA is filed under the name uncultured bacterium. RNAcentral's name for it is "partial 16S ribosomal RNA". It matches the Rfam family "Bacterial small subunit ribosomal RNA", at positions 96 to 334 of the family's 1533-position model. The record is from RNAcentral.
CGGCGGACGGGUGAGUAACGCGUGGGUAACCUGCCUCAUACAGGGGGAUAACAGUUAGAAAUGACUGCUAAUACCGCAUAAGACCACAGUACCGCAUGGUACAGUGGUAAAAACUCCGGUGGUAUGAGAUGGACCCGCGUCUGAUUAGGUAGUUGGUGGGGUAACGGCCUACCAAGCCGACGAUCAGUAGCCGACCUGAGAGGGUGACCGGCCACAUUGGGACUGAGACACGGCCCAG